This 1526-nucleotide long non-coding RNA is filed under the name Macaca mulatta (Rhesus monkey). RNAcentral's name for it is "lncRNA (ENSMMUG00000060159.1)". The record is from RNAcentral. Lineage: Eukaryota; Metazoa; Chordata; Mammalia; Primates; Cercopithecidae.
GAGGCAGGAGAAUCACUUAAAACCGGAAGGUGGAGGUUGCAGUGAGCCAAGAUGGCACCACUACACUACAGCCUGAGCAACGAGAGAAAGUCCAUCACAAACAAACAAACAAACACAAACAAACAAAAAAACACUUCCUAAAAAGAGCCCUAGAGACCCAUGUGGAGGUGGAGGGCCUGAGGAAUAGCUUGGAUAGAAUGUGAAUAGACUUUCAAAGCCCACAUACUCCAGCUCAACGUGCAAUCCUCUUUUGAUCACAAGUAUAGUUAAGACCAAGCAGUGGGCACACAGAUUAAAAAAUACAUUCCAAAGGGAAGUGUAUGAUCCUGAGAUGGAGCUAAAAAAAAUUAUCUCAAGCAAUGGCAUAAAGUGCGUGAUUGCCUUUUGCAGGACAACCCUGGUUCUAUUCAAGGGAGGGAGGUUUGGUUGAUCAACAAGGUGUUAAACUUUUUUCUUAGAACGCGACUUAUAUCCCUGUGUUGCAGUGGAGAAUGGGGAUAGUCUAACCAAAGUGGUUUAUGAAUUCUCAUAGCCCUGCACCUCACUAGAUAACACGAUGCUCACUCUACACUUCUUCCCCAUUUUGAAGGUUCUAAAGGAUUCUCAGGAGUGAAAAACUAUUCUUAGUUAUGGAAUUCAAAGGUGAUUGAUGGAGUUCUCCCUGGCUGACUACCCCAGGACACAAUGCCAGAAGAAUCCUGACUCCUUUGGCUUGCGCAGAAUGUCUCAAAGACUGACAGCCACACUUGACUCAUUAUUUUUUUGUUUAUGAAAAUAUCAGAAAGACGACACCUAGGAUAAGUUUUCAGUAUCAGUGUAUUCAAACAAUAGCAAUAAGAAAACAAAGGCACUUCCUUAAAUCUUUUUCACUUAAAUAGUAAGUAUGAUAUUGUAUUGGGGGAAUGAAGUUAUACUUGGGAUUUUUAGAUGUUCAAUUUCUCAACAGAUUGUUUAAAUCAAUAGUUCCUGAGGCAAAAGAUAUACAUCACAAUUAAUGUCUGUCAAAUUAUUAUUAUAUGGGAAUCUGCAAAUAAUUUGAUUUUAAGAAGGGCUCUUCAUUCUCACCUGAGUAAAAUAUGUACUCCUAUCUUUAUAGGUAAUGGAUGAGGGAAAAAAAUUGAAUAAUUAUUUUUGUUUUCUAGAAAAAUCUUCUAUUGAAAAAUAUCAAGUUUAAAUAAUAAUAUUAUCCUGUCUCUCCUAUUUCAAGCAACUAUUUCAAUGUAAUUACCAAACAACAAUCUGGAACUGUAAAAAUACACAUUAUGCCUGGAACUGUAAAAAUACACAUUAUAUUAUUUAUGUUUUACAACUCUAUGAGGCAAGUUUUAUUUUCCUCUCUUGGAGAAAACUGAGGCUUAGAGCACUGUACUUUGGCAAGCAUGACCACAGCUCUAUUAUAUGACAGAACAUACAUUAAGCCUUGUAGUAUUUAAUACUUCUGCUGUACACAAGCCAACCAAAGGCAAAAAUCACCUUCAAAACAAUGCUGAAGAGACAUGGAUCAGCAAUUGUAAAUAAUUAUAUUA